UGGGGAAUCUUCCGCAAUGGACGAAAGUCUGACGGAGCAACGCCGCGUGAGUGAAGAAGGUUUUCGGAUCGUAAAACUCUGUCUUUUGGGGCGAACGUGAGUAUGGUGAACAAUCAUAGUCAGUGACGGUACCAAAGGAGGAAGCCACGGCUAACUACGUGCCAGCAGCCGCGGUAAUACGUAGGUGGCAAGCGUUGUCCGGAAUUAUUGGGCGUAAAGAGCGCGUAGGCGGGAUAGUCAGUCUGUUGUAAAAGUGCGGGGCUCAACCCCGUGAUGGCAAUGGAAACAGCUAUUCUUGAGUGCAGGAGAGGAGAGUGGAAUUCCCAGUGUAGCGGUGAAAUGCGUAGAUAUUGGGAGGAACACCAGUGGCGAAGGCGACUUUCUGGACUGUGUCUGACGCUGAGGCGCGAAAGCCAGGGGAGCGAACGGGAUUAGAUACCCCGGUAGUCCUGGCCGUAAACGAUGGGUACUAGGUGUGGGGGGUAUCGACCCCUUCCGUGCCGGAGUUAACGCAAUAAGUACCCCGCCUGGGGAGUACGGUCGCAAGACUGAAACUCAAAUGAAUU
This 566-nucleotide ribosomal RNA is filed under the name uncultured bacterium. RNAcentral's name for it is "partial 16S ribosomal RNA". It matches the Rfam family "Bacterial small subunit ribosomal RNA", at positions 355 to 911 of the family's 1533-position model. The record is from RNAcentral.